UACGUAGGGUGCAAGCGUUGUCCGGAAUUAUUGGGCGUAAAGAGCUCGUAGGUGGCUUGUCACGUCGGGUGUGAAAGCUUGGGGCUUAACUCCAGGUCUGCAUUCGAUACGGGCUGGCUAGAGGUAGGUAGGGGAGAACGGAAUUCCUGGUGUAGCGGUGAAAUGCGCAGAUAUCAGGAGGAACACCGGUGGCGAAGGCGGUUCUCUGGGACGGUACUGACGCUGAGACGCGAAAGCGUGGGGAGCGAACAGG
This 253-nucleotide ribosomal RNA is filed under the name uncultured bacterium. RNAcentral describes it as "partial 16S ribosomal RNA". It matches the Rfam family "Bacterial small subunit ribosomal RNA", at positions 524 to 776 of the family's 1533-position model. The record is from RNAcentral.